Molecule: long non-coding RNA, 776 nt
Organism: Ailuropoda melanoleuca (giant panda)
Lineage: Eukaryota; Metazoa; Chordata; Mammalia; Carnivora; Ursidae
Exons: 4
Source: RefSeq, a predicted model, not a curated record
UAAACUCAUUGGCCACCCAUGUCAAACUAUAUGAAACUCGAAGAUGCGUUGUCUUGUUUUCAAUAUGUCUCUGCAGAGGUAUCCCAUCAUCAUAGAUGUGUAAACAUAACUACUCACUUGUAUAAUUUCUGCACACAGACAUCCCCUCCACACAUGCUUGUGCUGUUUUUUAAAACCAGAAAGGAGCAGUGAACUGUUCCCAUUGGCCUUGCGCUUGAAUGCAACACGCUGGACCCAGUUGGAGAACAUGAUCCCCCAGCUGACAGACACGGAGAGGACUCAGCUGGCAUAGUGCAUGAGCCAGAAUGUUCCAGAGGAAAGGAUGCCUCUUACUCUGUUGAAGCAACAACAGAAAGAACAGCUCUGUGCCUGUGUCUACAAAACCUGUGGCUCAGGCGACCCCGAGGAAACUUCGGUACUAUUCCAUCAGUGAGGACCCCCUCUGCACUCUCUUCUCUCCUCCUCCGGAUAUAUCUCCCGUGUUCCACUCGCGACCUCAGCUAGAUGUUCUUUAAUAUCUAGAAAGGGAAGUCCUCUUCUGGGAUCUUCCUAAGCCCUACAGAGAUUCUGCCAGCGCCUUGGCCACCCCAUCUCCCCUGGGGCAGGCUCACAGUGAGGAGGAGGAGAGAGACCUGCAGACAGGCCUGUUGACUCUGCUGUUCCCAUCCCCCACUUUCCUGCCUCCUGGCUGAGCGAACACAGGACUGACACGCCAUCUCUGAAAAGCUGCUGGUCGUGUGCUGGUCCGCCUUUCUGUCCAACACUCGCAGUCUAUU